This 473-nucleotide ribosomal RNA is filed under the name uncultured bacterium. Its description in RNAcentral is "bacterial SSU rRNA". It matches the Rfam family "Bacterial small subunit ribosomal RNA", at positions 355 to 825 of the family's 1533-position model. The record is from RNAcentral.
UCGAGAAUCUUCGGCAAUGAGCGCAAGCUUGACCGAGCGACGCCGCGUGGGUGAUGAAGAUUCUCGGAUCGUAAAACCCUGUCAGGUGGGAUGAAAAACCAUUCGGUUAAUACCCGAGUGGCUUGACAGUACCACCAGAGGAAGCUCCGGCCAACUCCGUGCCAGCAGCCGCGGUAACACGGGGGAGCAAGCGUUGUUCGGAUUCAUUGGGCGUAAAGAGCUCGUAGGCCGCUCUGUAAGUCGGAAGUGAAAGACCACGGCUCAACCGUGGAAAACGCUUUCGAAACUGUGGAGCUUGAGGCCGGGAGAGGAGAUCGGAAUUCCUGGUGUAGCGGUGAAAUGCGUAGAUAUCUGGAGGAACACCGGUGGCGAAGGCGACAUCCUGGACCAAUUCUGACGCUGAGGAGCGAAAGCCAGGGGAGCAAACGGGAUUAGAUACCCAUGUAGUCCCUGAGCGGGCUGGCAAGGCGCAU